Molecule: ribosomal RNA, 293 nt
Filed under: uncultured bacterium
Lineage: Bacteria
Description: partial 16S ribosomal RNA
Rfam family: Bacterial small subunit ribosomal RNA
Source: RNAcentral
GUGCCAGCCGCCGCGGUAAAACGUAGGACACGAGCGUUAUCCGGAGUUACUGGGCGUAAAGGGCAGGUAGGCGGACAGGCAAGUUGGGUGUGAAAUCUCCCUGGCUUAACCGGGAGGGUGCACUCGAAACUGCUUGACUGGAGGGCGGCAGAGGAGCGUGGAAUUCCGGGUGGAGUGGUGAAAUGCGUAGAGAUCCGGAGGAACACCAGAGGCGAAAGCGGGGCUCUGGGCCGCACCUGACGCUGAACUGCGAAAGCCAGGGUAGCGAACGGGAUUAGAAACCCGCGUAGUCC